RNAcentral lists this unclassified non-coding RNA (246 nucleotides) under Hevea brasiliensis (rubber tree). The record is from RNAcentral. Lineage: Eukaryota; Viridiplantae; Streptophyta; Magnoliopsida; Malpighiales; Euphorbiaceae.
AAAGAAAUAUAAAAAAUUUUUCGAGUUCUUAACAGAGCAUGUUCCAUGGUUAACUCGAAGAGUCCUUAUUAAAUGGUGGGAUAAAUGUGAGUUCUUUGAAGCACCUUCAAUUUACUCCUCCAAAAGACUAAUUCAUCUGGCUAAAAAGCCAUCAGUAUCUAGUCCAUCGAUCUCUUCUAAUUUAACCGACCUAUUCAGUUUUUACCGAAUUAAUUUCUUAUCUUAAUUCUUUUAUAGUUGGUUCUC